Molecule: non-coding RNA, 31 nt
Filed under: Rattus norvegicus (Norway rat)
Lineage: Eukaryota; Metazoa; Chordata; Mammalia; Rodentia; Muridae
Source: RNAcentral
UAGGUUUUAGCUUCUGUGUGGGUUUUAGCCU